AGUGAACGCUGGCGGUAGGCCUAACACAUGCAAGUCGAACGGCAGCACAGUAAGAGCUUGCUCUUACGGGUGGCGAGUGGCGGACGGGUGAGGAAUACAUCGGAAUCUACUUUUUCGUGGGGGAUAACGUAGGGAAACUUACGCUAAUACCGCAUACGACCUACGGGUGAAAGCAGGGGAUCUUCGGACCUUGCGCGAUUGAAUGAGCCGAUGUCGGAUUAGCUAGUUGGCGGGGUAAGGCCCACCAAGGCGACGAUCCGUAGCUGGUCUGAGAGGAUGAUCAGCCACACUGGAACUGAGACACGGUCCAGACUCCUACGGGAGGCAGCAGUGGGGAAUAUUGGACAAUGGGCGCAAGCCUGAUCCAGCCAUACCGCGUGGGUGAAGAAGGCCUUCGGGUUGUAAAGCCCUUUUGUUGGGAAAGAAAAGCAGCAGGUUAAUACCCCGCUGUUCUGGCGGUACCCAAAGAAUAAGCACCGGCUAACUUCGUG
RNAcentral lists this ribosomal RNA (491 nucleotides) under uncultured bacterium. RNAcentral's name for it is "partial 16S ribosomal RNA". It matches the Rfam family "Bacterial small subunit ribosomal RNA", at positions 29 to 507 of the family's 1533-position model. The record is from RNAcentral.